This 713-nucleotide long non-coding RNA is filed under the name Homo sapiens (human). RNAcentral's name for it is "HSALNT0009480". Lineage: Eukaryota; Metazoa; Chordata; Mammalia; Primates; Hominidae. The record is from RNAcentral.
GAUUUACUGAAACAAACUUGACUACAUGAAUACAGAAGAAAUGUAGUUGUUUGGUUCUACUAUCAAACUAACUGAGUGGACCAGGAGGAGUUUUCAGAGGAGUCUGUGAUAGGCGCUUUGUGACUCCAGGACACGUUGAGAUUAUUUUGCCCUUCUGCCUUCUUCCAUGGGAAAUACAGCAAGAAAGCCCUCGCCACAUGCAGCCCCUCCAUGUUGGACUUCCCAGUCUUCAGAACCAUGAGCCAAAUAAACUUCUAUUGUUUAUAAAUUACUAAGUCUCAGGCAUCUUGUUACAGGAGCACAAAAUGGACUAAGACAUUUAGUAAUGUGAAAUGCAUUGAAGUAUGCUUUGUACAUGAUAAGCACUGAUUAAAUAUUAAAGAUCCUUAUUAGUAUCUUGCAUUGUUACCUCUCUUAUAAUAAUUUAAAAGUUAUAAAACCAAAAGCCUUCGAACUGUAAAAAGAGACUUUGAGGUCUUCAUUUCACUAAUAAUAAAAGUGAAGUCCAAAAAGAUUAAAAAACUUUCUCAGGGCAACACAGCAACUUAAUGACAGGUGAGAAACAUGACCCUGUUUUCUGACCAGUGUUUUAAGGCUUUCACUGUUCUAGUCACUGAUAAUUUGUGGUGACCAACACUGAAAUCAGUGAUUCAUUUCACAGAUAAAAUAUAAAUUAAAAGUUCAUAAGCCUAUGAAUUGGUAGACUAAAAACC